AUGAAUCUCUUGGCCUGGAACUGUCGAGGACUGGGGUUGGACUCGACAGUGGGCGAACUGAGAGACCUGAUACGGUCCUACAACCCAGCGGUGGUUUUUCUUUGUGAAACAAAAAAGAAUUCUAGGGCGAUGGAAUUGAAAUGGAGUCUCGGAUUUAGAUGUGGCAUGGCUGUCGAUUGUCAAGGAAGAAGUGGAGGGCUUGCAUUGUGGUGGAGGGAUAAUGUG
Molecule: ribosomal RNA, 225 nt
Filed under: Triticum aestivum (bread wheat)
Lineage: Eukaryota; Viridiplantae; Streptophyta; Magnoliopsida; Poales; Poaceae
Description: partial small subunit ribosomal RNA
Source: RNAcentral